GUACGUACUGGCAUCGUCGGUUUCUCCCUUCUGACGAACCAUGAUGUCAUUUAUUUGGUGUCGUGGGGAAUCAGGACUGUUACUUUGAAAAAAUUAGAGUGUUUAAAGCAGGCUCACGCUUGAAUACAUUAGCAUGGAAUAAUGAAAUAGGACGUUUGAUUCUAUUUUGUUGGUUUCUAGGAUCGACGUAAUGAUUAAUAGGGAUAGUUGGGGGCAUUAGUAUUCAAUUGUCAGAGGUGAAAUUCUUGGAUUUAUUGAAGACUAACUACUGCGAAAGCAUUUGCCAAGGAUGUUUUCAUUAAUCAAGAACGAAAGUUAGGGGAUCGAAGACGAUCAGAUACCGUCGUAGUCUUAACCAUAAACUAUGCCGACUAGGGAUCGGAUGAUGUUAAUUUUUUAAUGACUCAUUCGGCGCCUUACG
This 421-nucleotide ribosomal RNA is filed under the name uncultured Glomeromycotina. RNAcentral describes it as "SSU rRNA". It matches the Rfam family "Eukaryotic small subunit ribosomal RNA", at positions 673 to 1092 of the family's 1831-position model. Lineage: Eukaryota; Fungi; Glomeromycota. The record is from RNAcentral.